RNAcentral lists this ribosomal RNA (173 nucleotides) under Olea europaea subsp. europaea. Its description in RNAcentral is "LSU_rRNA_archaea". It matches the Rfam family "Bacterial large subunit ribosomal RNA", at positions 1725 to 1902 of the family's 2925-position model. The record is from RNAcentral. Lineage: Eukaryota; Viridiplantae; Streptophyta; Magnoliopsida; Lamiales; Oleaceae.
GCCCCAUAACUUCGGGAGAAGGGGUGCUUCCUCAGAAAAGGGGUCUAGUGACGAGGCCCAGGUAAUUGUUUACCAAAAACACAGGUCUCCACAAAAUCGUAAGACCAUGUAUGGGGGCUGACGCCUGCCCAGUGUCAGAAAGAAAAGAAUGUUGGUGACCUGAUGACAGGGGA